RNAcentral lists this ribosomal RNA (484 nucleotides) under uncultured bacterium. RNAcentral's name for it is "partial 16S ribosomal RNA". It matches the Rfam family "Bacterial small subunit ribosomal RNA", at positions 30 to 507 of the family's 1533-position model. The record is from RNAcentral.
AUUGAACGCUGGCGGCAGGCCUAACACAUGCAAGUCGAGCGGAUGAAGGGAGCUUGCUCCUGGAUUCAGCGGCGGACGGGUGAGUAAUGCCUAUGAAUCUGCCUCGUAGUGGGGGAUAACGUCCGGAAACGGGCGCUAAUACCGCAUACGUCCUGCGGGAGAAAGUGGGGGAUCUUCGGACCUCACGCUCUCAGAUGAGCCUAGGUCGGAUUAGCUAGUUGGUGGGGUAAAGGCCUACCAAGGCGACGAUCCGUAACUGGUCUGAGAGGAUGAUCAGUCACACUAGAACUGAGACACGGUCCAGACUCCUACGGGAGGCAGCAGUGGGGAAUAUUGGACAAUGGGCGAAAGCCUGAUCCAGCCAUGCCGCGUGUGUGAAGAAGGUCUUCGGAUUGUAAAGCACUUUAAGUGGGGAGGAAGGGCAGUAAGUUAAUACCUUGCUGUUUUGACGUUACCAACAGAAUAAGCACCGGCUAACUUCGUG